GACGAACGCUGGCGGCGUGCUUAACACAUGCAAGUCGAACGGAAAGGCCCUGCUUUUGUGGGGUGCUCGAGUGGCGAACGGGUGAGUAACACGUGAGCAACCUGCCCUUGACUUUGGGAUAACUUCAGGAAACUGGGGCUAAUACCGGAUAGGAGCUCCUGCUGCAUGGUGGGGGUUGGAAAGUUUCGGCGGUUGGGGAUGGACUCGCGGCUUAUCAGCUUGUUGGUGGGGUAGUGGCUUACCAAGGCUUUGACGGGUAGCCGGCCUGAGAGGGUGACCGGCCACAUUGGGACUGAGAUACGGCCCAGACUGCUACGGGAGGCAGCAGUGGGGAAUAUUGCACAAUGGGCGGAAGCCUGAUGCAGCAACGCCGCGUGCGGGAUGACGGCCUUCGGGUUGUAAACCGAUUUCGCCUGUGACGAAGAGUGAGUGACGGUAAUGGGUAAAGAAGCACCGGCUAACUACGUG
RNAcentral lists this ribosomal RNA (468 nucleotides) under uncultured bacterium. Its description in RNAcentral is "partial 16S ribosomal RNA". It matches the Rfam family "Bacterial small subunit ribosomal RNA", at positions 28 to 507 of the family's 1533-position model. The record is from RNAcentral.